AAGAAAACCACAUCCUUCACAACAAGUCUGCAGUACUGAAAAUCAUGAUGCCCUUAAUGAAACUUGGAUCCACUUGAUCUUGAUCUUCACCUUCUUAGCAGAGCAGAAGUCAUCUCUUUCAAAUCAUUUAACAGAGUUCUCAUACAAAGACUCCAUACUCCUCUGGAGUAACUCUGUGAAACAAAUAGAAAACAUGUAUUCAGCUAAUAUAUAGAUAUUGCUUGCAAACUACAGUUUUCUCUAAUUGCUAAAACACUAAAAUGACAUGCACAAUUAUUUAAACUGACACAGAGAGCAAAACCUCUCUUCUCAAGUAACAAAUUCUAACAUGUUCUGCUUCACACACAUUUUGCCAUUCAAAAUGCCACUUUUUACUGUAAAUGCACUGAACACGGUUCACUGUAAGACACGACAAUCUGACCUAAAGGCACAUGUUUGCCGUUUCAAAACACUGACAUUCAAAAUGACACUACAUGAACUAAUUGGCUUAUAUUUGUGCAUAUGUUGCACUGACUUGUUUGGUGAAAAAAAAAAAAAAUGUUUAAACAGCAUGUGUGUAUCUGUAAAUAUUUCUGUGCAUGUGAACAAUCUGAAGAAUUUUCUACAAUUUGAACUAUUUUAGUAUUAUGGCAAAGCAUACUAAAGAUGAGAGUGCAUGCUUUUCAUUAUGCCCAACAGUACUGUAGUUGGUUAGACACAAAUCUGGUAAUAUGAAUGAAGUGUACCAUUUGGUGCAAAAGUUUGAUUUUGAUAAUGCUAUAGUUUUGCUUGCAGUGCUUCAUUUUGCAGGAUGUAUGAGGUAUUUUACAGUUUGGGUUUGUGAUUUUGUGAAUUGUGUUAAGUGUUUUGAUAAAACCAGAUUAGUUUGCAAAAUUGUGUUUUAGCUGUUUUAGCUCACAAUUCUUCAAUUAGCAAUCACUCAUUAUCCAUAAGAGAUACCAUGUAUGUUCUGUGUUGCUAUUUGCAAGUGUGGAUUUAAGGCACAUUUAAAAUAAGUACUGUAUUGCCUAUUUGGU
Long non-coding RNA from Alosa sapidissima (American shad), 1016 nucleotides. RefSeq lists it as uncharacterized. The record is from RefSeq and is a predicted model, not a curated record. Lineage: Eukaryota; Metazoa; Chordata; Actinopteri; Clupeiformes; Clupeidae. The transcript is spliced from 2 exons.